GUCGUAAUCCAUAAUCCAUAAUCAUCUUAUAAUAAAGCUCGAGAAGGUAUAGUGUGUUCAUCUAUAUGGGGAAUAAUUUUUAUUUAUUUUUUUUGCUAGUAUUUGUGACGCAUUGUACCGUGUUAAGCAAACUGUUAGGGAUCUGUGUGCCAGUGCCAGUGUGCACGCGUAUGCAUGCAUACACUGAGGUUAGGUGUGGAGUUUGGUAAGGAUCACACGUCGUGCAUACGCAGUCAAUCCAAUCUAACAACAUUUCCAAACAAACGAGAGUUGAACGCGCGCGCGCCCGCCCACGUGUUUGCUUGGUGUUCUUCUUUCCGACAUGUGGACUGUUUCUCUUCGCUCUCUCACUGUAAAACUCCGCCAUUGUUGUUCCUCUUUCUUUUCGGUAUCUGAGACGCGCGAGCUUCUCGUCGUAUCGAUUGCGUCGUUGACUUUUAACGUUACUGCGCGCUACGUGUCACGAGAUGCACGAGAGCUUCUGGAGCAAGUGUAGAACUGCCCUCACGCGCCUGCACACGUGCAUAUGCAUAUAUACAUAUACAUACACGCAUGCACGCGCGCAACACCUCGGCCCUCACUUCUAAUUGAUGUAAAUAGGAAGCAGAGGCGCGCGCGCGCUGACCUUCUUCUACAGGCAAAACUCCUCAGUGUGGCUAUGAGAAUGGGAACAUGACUGAGGUGAGCGGGAACGGGAACGGAACGGGAACUUAGACUGAGUGAAACUAAUUGAUGUAGAAGUUACAAUAAUGGGAAGAUCAACAGAUGGAGGAGUGUGUGAUAAUCUGCAGGAAACGGAGGUGCGUUUUUGUUGCUAAUUCAGCAACGUUUGCUAAUUACACAUGCUAGAAUCAUAAUGCUAGUCAAACUAGCCAACUAGCACAUGCUGACUCAGG
This is a long non-coding RNA of Pangasianodon hypophthalmus (striped catfish), 896 nucleotides long. RefSeq lists it as uncharacterized. The transcript has 3 exons. NCBI's taxonomy places the organism in Eukaryota, Metazoa, Chordata, Actinopteri, Siluriformes, Pangasiidae. The record is from RefSeq and is a predicted model, not a curated record.